Molecule: non-coding RNA, 21 nt
Filed under: Arabidopsis thaliana (thale cress)
Lineage: Eukaryota; Viridiplantae; Streptophyta; Magnoliopsida; Brassicales; Brassicaceae
Source: RNAcentral
GAUGGAGUGAUGCUUCUCGAC